RNAcentral lists this ribosomal RNA (942 nucleotides) under Triticum aestivum (bread wheat). RNAcentral's name for it is "partial small subunit ribosomal RNA". The record is from RNAcentral. Lineage: Eukaryota; Viridiplantae; Streptophyta; Magnoliopsida; Poales; Poaceae.
AUGAGCGUUGAGUGGGAGCAGAAGUCCCCUCUGGUGACUGUUAGAGCCCUCCACAUAAGUACUUUCGACGAUACUUCUCUUGUUUUGGACUCCAGUGAGGCUCCUCAUUUGUGUAACAGAGCUGCUUUAUCUUUCGAAACAUCUUGCUUUAAAAGGGAAGUGACAAGAGCGGGAGACCAUGGUGUGGUGGCAGAAUUAUAUCGAGACCAGUAUGGUGUAUUCCAAGGUUCUUCAGCAGUAUUGUACACUUACAUUGUCGAUCCAACGACGCAGGAAGCUUUGGCAGUCCGGGAGGCCCUAGCCUUGGCUGAUGAUCGGUACCUCCGAAGGAUAACAAUGGCAUCGGGUUGUAAGGUGGUGGUGGACGCAAUCAAGCAUGGGAGUGCACAUACUUAUGGUGCUGUUUUACAUGAAAUGUCGCUUAGUUCGUCUUCUUUUAAUUCAUGUACUUUUAGUCAUGAGUUUCGGACCUCGAAUGUCGAGGCUGAUCGUCUUGCAAAGCAUGCUUUAGCACUAGGAAAUGGUUGUCAUGUCUGGCUUGCAAUCCCUGAGGAGCUGAACUUCGUCCCUGUAAUGGUGACGGUCCAGAAGGAGGCGGACGAAUUCUUGGGUAAGAUGCUGUCCUGUGGCAAGAAAAGAAACCUUACAUUAUUUUCAGAUAGUAGAGAUUUACGGGGCCAUGGCCACAUAUGCAUGCCCCCACGCUGGAUAGGCCAGGAGCCUGCUUCCCAAGCCAGCCUCGACGUGCAUGUCUGUUGCCGGCGGAAAGCAUCGAUCGGCGCCCAGCCAGCCUGUGCACGUGCCAGAUCGCCAGAAAGAAGUGACCGGCGGUCCGGGCCAGUGCCAACAGCAGACAGCCACACGCGCGAUGCCAACGAGUACAGCUACCUCGAUAGCUAUAGCUCCGUGGAGCUCAUGGUUGUGCAUGUACAACAACGCUAG